UUGAACGCUGGCGGAAUGCUUUACACAUGCAAGUCGAGCGGCAGCACGGGGGCAACCCUGGUGGCGAGCGGCGAACGGGUGAGUAACACAUCGGAACAUGCCCAGUCGUGGGGGAUAACACUUCGAAAGAAGUGCUAAUACCGCAUACGUCCUGAGGGAGAAAGCGGGGGAUCGCAAGACCUCGCGCGAUUGGAGUGGCCGAUGUCAGAUUAGCUAGUUGGUGGGGUAAAGGCCUACCAAGGCAACGAUCUGUAGCUGGUCUGAGAGGAUGAUCAGCCACACUGGGACUGAGACACGGCCCAGACUCCUACGGGAGGCAGCAGUGGGGAAUUUUGGACAAAGGGGGCAACCCUGAUCCAGCCAUUCCGCGUGAGUGAAGAAGGCCUUCGGGUUGUAAAGCUCUUUCGGCAGGAACGAAACGGUGAGCUCUAACAUAGCUUGCUAAUGACGGUACCUGAAAAAGAAGCACCGGCUAACUACGUG
This 483-nucleotide ribosomal RNA is filed under the name uncultured bacterium. RNAcentral's name for it is "partial 16S ribosomal RNA". It matches the Rfam family "Bacterial small subunit ribosomal RNA", at positions 30 to 507 of the family's 1533-position model. The record is from RNAcentral.